GAAUGGCUCAUAUAACAGUACCUUAUCAACUUGAUCUUGACACAAUCCUACUUGGAUAACCGUGGUAAUUCUAGAGCUAAUACAUGCAUUAAAGCUCUGACCUUCGGGGAAGAGUGCAUUUAUUAGAACAAAACCAAGCGGCUUCGGCUGUUUUCGGUUGACUCAUAGUAACUGAGCUGAUCGCAUGGUCUUGCACCGGCGACGUGUCUUUCGAGUAUCUGCCGUAUCAACUUUCGAUGGUAGUGUAUCUGACUACCAUGGUGAUCACGCGUAACGGAGAAUAAGGGUUCGACUCCGGAGAGUUCGCCUGAGAAAUCGCGAACGCAUCUAAGGAAGGCAGCAGGCGCGAAAAUUACCCACUCUCAGCACGAGGAGGUAGUGACGAAAAAUAACGAGACCGUUCUCUUAUGAGGCCGGUCAUCGGAAUGGGUACAAUUUAAACCCUUUAACGAGUAUCUAUGAGAGGGCAAGUCUGGUGCCAGCAGCCGCGGUAAUUCCAGCU
RNAcentral lists this ribosomal RNA (502 nucleotides) under Eucephalobus striatus. RNAcentral describes it as "SSU rRNA". It matches the Rfam family "Eukaryotic small subunit ribosomal RNA", at positions 91 to 590 of the family's 1831-position model. Lineage: Eukaryota; Metazoa; Nematoda; Chromadorea; Rhabditida; Cephalobidae. The record is from RNAcentral.